Molecule: ribosomal RNA, 253 nt
Filed under: uncultured bacterium
Lineage: Bacteria
Description: partial 16S ribosomal RNA
Rfam family: Bacterial small subunit ribosomal RNA
Source: RNAcentral
UACGUAGGGCGCAAGCGUUGUCCGGAAUUAUUGGGCGUAAAGAGCUCGUAGGUGGCUUGUCACGUCGGGUGUGAAAGCUUGGGGCUUAACUCCAGGUCUGCAUUCGAUACGGGCUGGCUAGAGGUAGGUAGGGGAGAACGGAAUUCCUGGUGUAGCGGUGAAAUGCGCAGAUAUCAGGAGGAACACCAAUAGCGAAGGCAGCUCGCUGGGACGUUACUGACACUAAGGCGCGAAAGCGUGGGGAGCGAACAGG